This 412-nucleotide RNase P RNA is filed under the name Candidimonas nitroreducens. RNAcentral describes it as "Bacterial RNase P class A". It matches the Rfam family "Bacterial RNase P class A". Rfam says of the family: Ribonuclease P (RNase P) is a ubiquitous endoribonuclease, found in archaea, bacteria and eukarya as well as chloroplasts and mitochondria. Its best characterised activity is the generation of mature 5'-ends of tRNAs by cleaving the 5'-leader elements of precursor-tRNAs. Lineage: Bacteria; Pseudomonadati; Pseudomonadota; Betaproteobacteria; Burkholderiales; Alcaligenaceae. The record is from Rfam by way of RNAcentral.
GGGACAGGUCGGGCAAUCGCGGUGCCGUACGCGGCAUCGAGGAAGGUCCGGACUCCAUAGAGCAGGAUAGCGGCUAACGGCCGCCCGGCGAGCAGCGGCCAUGGCCGCCGCGGGCCGAGGAACAGGGCCACAGAGACGAGUCUGCGGCGCGGGCAUGCCCAUGGCGUGCACCGACACGGCCACUUCCGUGUCGCGCGACCCGGCAACGGGCCGCGGCGCUGCAGGGUGAAACGCGGCAACCUCUAUCCGGAGCAACAUCAAAUAGGCAUGCGCGGGCCUUGCGCCCAGAGAGCGGCUCGCUCCAGCAUGCGGGUAGAUGGCUAGAGCGCGGCAGCAAUGCCGAGCCCAGAGGAAUGAUUGCCCGCCGGGUUCGCCCGGCGUACAGAAUCCGGCCUACAGACCUGUCCCGUUU